This 461-nucleotide ribosomal RNA is filed under the name uncultured bacterium. RNAcentral's name for it is "bacterial SSU rRNA". It matches the Rfam family "Bacterial small subunit ribosomal RNA", at positions 30 to 504 of the family's 1533-position model. The record is from RNAcentral.
UGAACGCUGGCGGCGUGCUUAACACAUGCAAGUCGAACGAGAACGGGCCUAGCUUGCUAGGCUGUCAGCUAAGUGGCGGACGGGUGAGUAAUGUAUAGUUAAUUUGCCCCUUAGAGAGGGAUAACAGUUGGAAACGACUGCUAAUACCUCAUACUCCUUUAUACUUAAUGUAUAUUGGGAAAUGUUUUUUCGCUAAGGGAUAAGACUAUAUGGUAUCAGGUAGUUGGUGGGGUAAGAGCCUACCAAGCCAAUGACGCCUAGCUGGUCUGAGAGGAUGAUCAGCCACACUGGAACUGAGACACGGUCCAGACUCCUACGGGAGGCAGCAGUGGGGAAUAUUGCACAAUGGAGGAAACUCUGAUGCAGCAACGCCGCGUGGAGGAUGACGCAUUUCGGUGUGUAAACUCCUUUUAUAUGGGAAGAUAAUGACGGUACCAUAUGAAUAAGCACCGGCUAACUCC